AUGAUUGUUCUUGAUCAUGAGCAUUGCACAAAUCAUGUUAAGGCUCAUCCAGAGGACGAACAAUACCUUAACAAGACUAUUAUUCAUUAUAAGGAGAUGGUGAAUAUAGCUGGAGGGAGCAUGGCUACAGGGCAAUAUGCAAAAGACUCAAGUGACCCUCUUGCUACAGAAGUGGUUAAUCUUGAAGAAGAGACAACCAAGAAACCCAUUGCCCCACAUGAAGAGGUUGCACAAUCAACCAAUGCAGGUUCAUCCGGUCCCAAACCAAAAAAAGCCAAACCAAAUCCUUGUGCGGAAGAUAGGUUACACGCCACCAUACUUGCAUCUAGUGAAAGAAUUGCUAUUGCGAUAGAGAAGAGUUCUAGCACCGAGAACAAUGCCAUAGAUGGUCUUUGGGAGAGCAUGAAAGUACUCCCUGGGUUUAGUUUGGAUUACCUUGCUCAUUACUAUGCAUAUUUGGUUGACAAUCCUCGUGUUGCAAUGGCAUUCAAGGUGUUGGAAGAUGAUAAAAAGAAGGUUUGGGUUUCUAGGUAUGUCAAGAGUACCUUUCCUGAAGUGUGA
This 561-nucleotide ribosomal RNA is filed under the name Triticum aestivum (bread wheat). RNAcentral's name for it is "partial small subunit ribosomal RNA". Lineage: Eukaryota; Viridiplantae; Streptophyta; Magnoliopsida; Poales; Poaceae. The record is from RNAcentral.